UUUCUAGGAUCUGUUUAUAUUUACUAUUAGCAGAUUUUACUUUUCAACAGACUUUUUGCAAUCCCCUUAGAUAGUGUUGAUAUUAAAUAUUGCAUUGCUUGAGCAUCAUGAAGAAGUCUAUUACCAAAAGGCAUAUUGUGAGACAAACUUCCAUAUUCUUCAGUUAGGAAAUCUAGUAGAUUCAAUGAACGAAGUCCCAGUUAAAGUCUAACCCUUCAUUGGCAAGAGUUUCAUCUACUUGCUGUUUGAUUAAAGUAGCCAAAUCUGUAUUAUUCACUGCCUCUUCUUGGUGUGGAGAUGUAACCAUCCAAUCAAGGUCUUCAAUUUGAGCUUCUGUAUUGAUGGGAACGUCAUAUUCUUGGUUGUUAUCCAUUUUAUUAUAUGGGAUUUAUUUCAAUUAUUUCACAAUGAUAUCGACAAAAAUACUGUUGUCAAAAAUUAAGAGUUAUUCGCUCUGCUACCAACUUAGAUAUCUCGUAUUCAACACCAUUAACUAUACUUUCUUUUCAACCAGAUUUAUCGAAAAACACGUGAGUUACAUCCACCACUUUCAGUCAUCGAAUGAAACAUGGAAAUUUCCCGUAACGGUCAUUAACCGUUACCACCAGGUGGACUAGUUGUCCUCUAUGACUGUUUGUCUAUAGGCCGCUAGAAGGACUGAUCGUCCUUCAUACGCUAGUUCGUCUAUUCACCGCUAGAUGAACCAAUUGUCCUCUAUAAUCUAGUUCAUCUAGCUGCCGCUAGAUGGACUAAUCGAUUUGUUGUAGGCAUGUUUAAAAAAAGAGUUACACAGGGUGAACUCUAACAGAAACAAUUAAAGACUUAAUAGAGGAGGUCUGUAUAUGAUUAUAAAUAUUAUAAUACACAAUUUAUAUCAUCAUGUGAUCCAGAUUGUGGUUUAGGAUAUUGUAGUCAUUGUUAAACAUGCUAGCACAAAUAUAAAUGUGAGUGUUCCACUAAUAGCAUCAAAGUUAUAUUGUGCAAGCAUUUGCAUGCUGUUACUAUGUUCGGACAAAGAAUAAAUUCUGUUUAAGAUGACGACAACAAUUUAGAAAUCAAUGAGCCAUCAACAAGUUAACUAUAAUGAAGAUGUGGGACAUUUUAUAGAUGAAACCAUGAAAUUUCACAUCUAUAAGCAAUGACACAGAAAAUGAUUUGCUGAAAUGUGUAAAACAAUUGAAGACUCUCAAUCCAUAAGGAAUGAGGAGAUUAUUUGCAACUAUCAAUGGAAAAUUUUCCAAACAUAAGAUCAAUAAUAAGAACAUUUAAGAAGUGAAAAUUGAGAAUCAAAUCUAUUUCCCAAGAAAAAAAAUGAAUACAGAGACUAACUGAACCACCAUGUCACAUAUAUGAGAGACGUACAAUGUUCAAAUGUGAAUAGAAGAACCAGUCAAUAUCAAAAUGAAAUAUGAUAUACAUCCUUUACAUAAAUUAAUGAAUUUAAUAUAUUAUAUAUAAUAAUAUAACAUAAUUAUACAGGGUGUCCCGUAAAGACCA
Molecule: long non-coding RNA, 1497 nt
Organism: Harmonia axyridis
Lineage: Eukaryota; Metazoa; Arthropoda; Insecta; Coleoptera; Coccinellidae
Exons: 3
Source: RefSeq, a predicted model, not a curated record